RNAcentral lists this ribosomal RNA (405 nucleotides) under uncultured bacterium. RNAcentral's name for it is "partial 16S ribosomal RNA". It matches the Rfam family "Bacterial small subunit ribosomal RNA", at positions 30 to 526 of the family's 1533-position model. The record is from RNAcentral.
AUUGAACGCUGGCGGCAGGCUUAACACAUGCAAGUCGAACGAGUGGAGGACGGGUGAGUAAUGCUUGGGAAUCUAGCUUAUGGAGGGGGAUAACUACGGGAAACUGUAGCUAAUACCGCGUACCAUAGGAUGAGCCCAAGUGGGUUUAGGUAGUUGGUGAGGUAAAGGCUCACCAAGCCAACGAUCUCUAGCUGUUCUGAGAGGGUGAACCGCCACACUGGUAUUGAGACACGGCCCAGAAUCCUACGGGAGGCAGCAGUGGGGAAUAUUGCGCAAGGGGGGCCACCUGACGCAGCCAUGCCGCGUGAAUGAAGAAGGCCUUAGGGUUGUAAAGUUCUUUCGGUAGAGAGGCGUUAACUACAGAAGAAGCACCGGCUAACUCCGUGCCAGCAGCCGCGGUAAUUC